Non-coding RNA from Podarcis lilfordi (Lilford's wall lizard), 4806 nucleotides. Lineage: Eukaryota; Metazoa; Chordata; Lepidosauria; Squamata; Lacertidae. The record is from the annotation of a GenBank genome assembly.
UAAUCCGUCAAUGUAGGUAUCUAAAUUCCUAAGUGACCCGCAGCCUGAUCUUUGGAUAGGAGGUUCAGCUGUGGAUACAUAUAGCCAUGUGUCGUCUUUGCUAAGCUCUUCUAUAUUAUUGUAGCAUGUGGAGCUAGAGAUGGGAAGGGACAGGUGGUGUGUGGUGUUCUUGGUAAAAUGUUGUUUUACUUCACCACAGUCUUAUGGAAAGCUGGGCUGGCUGUUUUGCUCUGAGCUGCCAUGUGUCAUUGCUCUCCAUAGCUUUAAAAAAAGACUGGGGGUUAAUGAAAAUUGAAACCUUCAGGGAGGAAUGAGUCUGUGGUUUGUUCAGGAGACCACAGGCUAAAAAUCUGAAUCAACAAGACAAGCCUCAAACUACAACCAAAACAAGCAUGUUCAUACCCUUUCCCAUCCCUUUUCCACUCUCGCCCUCCACUGCCAUGUGCCAUCAUGCUGGGCCUCUACACCCUCUGAUAGUGUAUUCUGUUCACCAGCAUCUAGUAAGUCCAAACAAAAUAAAUACUCCUGGCUAGAAUCCAGUAUAUCUUUACUUUGCACGCAUUCUUGUUCAUAAGCAAGAUCAUGUGGUGGCCUCCUGCACCUGUACCUUCUUGCAUGAAAUUCUAUCUAUAUGUUACCACACCCAUACUCCCUAGUUGCUAUAUGCACGUAUUCCCACCAGACAGGGACACACUGAAUCAAGCAGAAUUUCAGUUGUAGGGAAGGUUCAUCAAGAGGAUAUACUCGCAUCUUCAGGUGACAUAAAAUAUUAAUACACACACACACACACACACACACACACAUAUAUAAUUACUGUUCUUAAAUUAAUGUAUUUUUAUCCCGUUGAGAUUCAAGGCAGCUUACAAUGUUUUUUAAAAUUAUAAAAAAAAGUAAUAAAAACAAACAAGUUAAAAACUGUAGUUUAAUAUAACGAAACACAUUUAGAACCAGCAUUAAAAUACAAAUUUCUCUGAGAGCAGUCCAUUUGUCAAGAUUUUCUGCACCUAGUUUUCAAAGGACUGUUUAAAUAUGAAGUUCUUAGCCUGCCUUAUAAACGACUUCACAGCCAGAAGCUAUUGGGAUGAAAUACCAAAUAUAUUGAUGCUAAAAGCAAUAAUUUCUAAGGAUCCAACUAUUGAAAAGCUGACUGCUAGGUAAAGUUAUCCAAUUUGGUUUCUAUUGAAUUUUUGUCUGGUGCGCCACCUAUAAUUAACUUAUGUCUUUGCUAAUAUAAGGACACCCUAGUUUCUAUUGAUUCCUGUUUUCUACCUGCUGAGCAACCUGUAUGCUGCUCUGAAGGAUGGGGACGGAGCUGAGUAACAGCCAGUUUUCAUGGUUUUAGCCAUAGUUAUGCCUCUUGUUCCAAGUAGGCCUUGAUGCAACCUGAUACCUGCAUAAGUCCUUAAAAAGUGCCAUGUGAUUUGUUGCUUAGGUCUAUGGGCAUACGCAGACUUCAUGGUUGUAACAUCAGCCAAAUACUGUAUUCUUCUCUCCCAGCCCCCGGGUCUUUUUAUCAUCUUAUUUGAUGAAGGGUUCUGGAGAACCCAGAAGCUUACAUGCUAUUUUGUAAUAUUUUGGUUGGCCUAAUACAGCUGUUGACCUAAUAUGGAUUUUGGAAUUUUUCUUAUGAGCUAAUUAGUUUUUGUGUGAAAGUGUUAAGGGUUUGGAGCACCUUUCCUGUAAGUAACAGUGAAAGUUUUUAAGGCCUUUUACUGUGGAACACAAAAGACUAAUAAAUGGGACAGCUGGAGUUUGUGAUAUAUGAACAGUGAAUUUGCUCUGUCUUUUAUAUAUUCUAGGAUACUGGUCAGGUUGUGAUCCUGAAGGAUGCAAGAUGAGGUUUGUAAGGCACCAACCUUGAACAGUGCACACUGUAGGAGUGGGGACAACUUCUGGAAGAAGGUUCUAGGGAAGGCACACGGCUUGAGGGUUCAAGGCCUAUCACUUUGGGCUCAUCCAGAUUUCCUCUUUUGCUGCAUUUCUAGACACAAGCCCACACUUCAAACCAUUGUGUCUGAGUGCCCCCUCUGCUUUCCCUGUGAAAACCUCCUAUUUACCACUGAAUCAGAGCAAACAGCAAUCCAAUUCAGCAUUAAAGAGCAGGUUUUCCUGGGGAAAGAGGGGGGAGUGCUCAGAUACUGAGCUUUAAAACACAGACCUGUGCCUAGAAAGCAUGGGGCAAAAGGUAAGUGUGUAUAAGCCCUUAACUGAGAGCUGGCAGAAGUUUAAAGGAGCAGAACCCAGACUUAUAAGUGCUAGCUGGGUGGUGACCAGGCACAUACACUGUCACAUACACUUGAAGCUUUACUGAAUGUGAAGUUGAUGAGGUGCCACAGCUGCAAAUUCAGGCUCCUUGUUGAAGUCUGAGAUCCCAGAUCCAGGGGCAGGGUCAACUUCACAGGGGCCUGUGCUUUCUGUUGCUUGAACUGAGUAUUAAAAGAAAGGGCAUUAAUUUUCCAAAAUACUCAAGAAGUAGAAACUCAACUCCAAUGCCUCUCCCCUCACCUGUCCACUCUGCCCAUUCAUUAUGCAUCAAGGCAGUUAUUACAUUCUUGGGUUAAGUGAAGAGAAUGCUUCCAAGUGCCAAUUUAAUUUUUACAGUAUUCAAUGAUUGAAAUAUUUAUGUAUUUAUUUUGGUUGCAUGUGUGCAUGUCCACAGAGGGAAUAGGCCUCUCCUGCUGUUGGCCUGUAGCACACGCUUGCGCUCGCUCGCUCACACACACGCACAAACAUAUAUAAGACAUCCAUACCCACCCCCUACCUGUUCUUCUUGUCCUGUUAGUGGUCUAUGUUGCCUGCAGGAUUAUGUAUAUUUAGCCCUCUCUCUAUUCGGACACAACUAAACACAGUUGCCAAAUGUGGAAGGGUUUUGCUGAUAACAAUGGCCUGUUGAUUCACUAUUGAUUUGCCUGCCAAUGCUGCCUGUAAUUGUACUAGCUCUGUGCUAAUUCUGUGGGCAGUCCUCUUAAACCUGGAGGUUUUAGAUUUGUGACUUUAGCAGCUGCUCUGCUCUGUUUUUGUUCUGACAUUCUCACAUUGGACUGCAGGAAAUUCACGUUAUCUCCUUUAAGCAGAGUGCAGGCGUGUUUGUGUCUCCUAUUCUAAAUCCUCCUUUCCUUCUACUAUAUCAGCUGAGAGCAAAAUACCCUUCUGAUUCAGUUGGCCAAAUGUAAAAAGCUAGUUCUUUCCCUAUGAGACCUGGUAUUUCCAUUUCUCCCUCAUCACUUCUUAAAAUUUGGUGGAUGAUAAUGUGAUGAGAAAUCUCUUUAGUUUUGGCUGCUUUGAGUGGUUUAAGCUCCCAAUCUGCAUGGCAAAAGGAAUUGGACAUCAUAUAGUUGCCCAUAAUAGUUUUGCUUGGAGCCCUUCAUCACUGUGUCUUGACCUCAGUGCAGUUGGAGUGGGUAGAGUAGUUUUAGUCAGUCCUUCAUGCGUGGCCACUGUACACUUAAGUAGCUUAUAUGCCCAGCAUUAAGCAGUUUGCAGGGUGAAGGUGUAGGAUUCAUUAUGGAGCAUGACUGUGUGAUAUUGAGGCUGUAAUUUCCAUAUAUAUAUAUAUAUCUUCCCCUAUCAGUUGACAUCUCUUGAAAUAGGUAGUUGUGAUGGGAGCAGAGGUGUAGUGGUGUGGGGCUGAAGACUUGUUACUGUUUCUCCAGCAGUCACAACACAGUCCCUGUCUCUAAUGUCAUAGAACAGGUGGUCCAACGCACAGUCUGAGGGCCACACACGGCCCCCUAUGCCUUUUUUGGCAGCCCUUGGCAACAUUAGAUGCCCCCUUCCCAGCCCUUGUACUGUCUUCCCAAAGCUGGGUAAGCGAGGUGCUGGCCUUUGGGAAGGAGGUGUGUGGGCUCUGACAGGGUCCUAGAGUCUUCCCUCCACCUUCCCAAAGCCUAGUUAGCACUUUCCCAACUUUGGGAGGGAGAUAGGAGGGUCCAGGACCCUGCCAGAGCCUUGUGCCUAGCUUAGCCAGCUUUGGGAAGGCAGUGUGAGAGCUUGGGGGGGGGGCGUGUCAAAUUUUUGCCUCACCCCCCCCCACCUUUGUGACAAGGCAGUGUGAGGCCUGCGCAUGCAGUGUCAAAGUACUCUUGCAGCCUACCUGAUAUAAAAUGUUGGUCUGCCCUGUCCUUGAACCACCCAACCAGCAUGAAAAGGGAGCUUUUUAGUCACUGUAAAGUCUUGUCACCCUUUGGCUACAGUUGUUCUGUCCCAGCCUAUACAUAAGGUGUACUGUAUGACAAAAAAAUUCUGUAGAAGUGUGAAAAGUUGCAUUUUCCUCCUACAAAUAUUGUAUCUUAAAACCUACCUUGUAUUCCCUUGGAAAAAAUAUAUGUUUUUAAAUAAACUGUGAUAAGUUUUGACAAUGCUAUAGCAUGUUAUUUUGCGCUCUCUCUCCCCCCCCCACUCCUGUAGCAAGUAACUUGACUUACUUACUUGAAUCCCUUUUUUCUUUUUUUUCCUUUUUUCCAAAGAGCUCAAGGUGGUGCACACAGUUUUCCUCCCCCUCAUUUAACAACCUUGCAACUUCUUCCUCACAACAACCCUGUGUAGUAGGCUAGGUUGAGAGGCAGUGAGUGGCCCAAGGUCACCAUGGCCAACUGAGGAUUUGAAGCCUGAUCUUCCAGGUAAUAAGUCUGACAAUCGAACUAGCACAACACACAGGGAUUGCUCUGUAGGCAUUCUGAUAUUUUGUUGCCCAUGCCUGGAGUUUAACUAUGGGAAGCUAGCGUGAAUUGGACUGGAGGGGAUGAACUAUGGUUUUGGUUGUUGUUGUUUUUUUAAAAAGUCUGAGUGUUUUUGGGUUUCCAUACU